GCUGCAUCGAUUUAUUAGGUGGGUCCAGAGAUAAAUGCGUUGUGGGGGAGAAAACAGCCCAAAAGUAAAGAAAUCCAUGGGAAAAGGGAAGAUUUUGGGAUAAAACAAAGAAACGGAGACACCAGGACAUGGGGGAAAAGGUGCUUCUGCAGCACCCUUAAAACCAGCUUUAACACCUAUAGGAAACAGCCCAAGGGGAGCUUCAACCUUCCUCCUCCUCCUCUUCCACGCGGCGGAUGCGCUUCCUCCUCCCCAGGGGCUGCAGCUCCUUGUCCUCAGGCGGCAGCGCUGGGCCUGGGGCUCCCGGAGGCCUCGUCCUCGCUGUCAAGGUCCCGCUGCCUCUUGCUGUGUGGCUGCACCGGGCUGGGGCUGCAUCCAACUGUUCCAAGGUUCCUUACCUGGAUCAGGGUCCUGCGGGCACCGGGGUGGCUCCGGCAGCCCCUGGGGGGACCCCGAGGGGUCAGGGCCAUGGUGGGCGAUGGAGGCGGCUGCACGGCGGAGCUGCCGCGGGGUGAGCGCAGCCGGGAUGCGCCAGAAGCCCCUCACCUGCUCGCUGUCGGGGGGCCGCAGCCCCAGCCGCCGCAGCAGCGCCUGGAACCGCCGGUCCUCCAUCGCGUCCUCAUUCUCCUCCGAGAGCGGCACCAGCGGCACCGCGUGGGACGUGCCUGAGCCCCGUGAGCCCGGUGAGCCCCGGAGCGGGCCCUGGACCCCCCCCCAGCCCCUGCCCGGCCCCCCCCUCCUCACCGUCCUCCUCGCGGUCCCCAGCCGUCCUCCGCAGGCAGCUCUGGAGCCAGCGCAGGGGCCCGGCCAGGCCUGGGGGCACAGCGAUGGGUGAAGCAGGAUGCGGCCCCGCAGCCAAGCAAAGCCCAACCAGGGGGCUCCGAGCCCCAAACCCACCUUCCUGAUGCAGCCGCUGCGCCAGGCCCUGCCCGGCCCCUUCCUCAGACCCCUCCAUGGGGUCUUCAUCAUCCUCCUCUUCAUCCUCCUCCUCCUCCUCACUGUCCCCAUCCUCGGAGCUGUCCUGUGCCGGCACCGCUGGCGCUCCCUGCGGGGACCGGCAGGGUUUGGGUGCCUGUGACGGGGCAGCACCCACUGGGCCGCCCCAGCUCCAGCAGCCUCCCCCGUGGUACCGGUACCGGUGCAGGGCCAUGGCCCUUCCUCCGGCGCCUCUUGUAGAGCUCCGCACGCGUCGCCACCAGCCCCAGCGCCAGCAGCUUGUCCACCACCCGCGCCCGCGAGCGCCGCGCAGUCAGGUGCUGCAGGAUGUGGCCCAGCACCAUCCGAGCCCCGGAACUCCUCGAAGAGCCGCGUCAGCUCCUCCUCCUGCUCCUGCGUCCACAGCACGAUGCGGGUGCCCUUCCUGCGGGGGGGACAUGGGGGUCAGUCCCAGCCCCAGGGCCCAGCAACCACCCCGCUUGUCCCCCAUGGAGGAGGGGGUCCCUGACCCACCUCUGCCGCGGGAGGUCGCGGGCGCUGCCGACCAGCCCCAACCGCACCAAGUGCUUCACAACGUGCCUCCGCGUGCGCCCGGGCGCCGGGAGCUGGGCCAGGAGGGCUCCAGCCACGUCCGAGCCUGCGGGAGCCGAGGAUACAGGGAUGGAGCCUCCGACACCCCCCGGGGGUCCCGCUGCACCCCCAAACCCCAGCCCCGGUACCUUCCACCUCCUUGUACUUCCAAUAGAGCUCCCGCAGCUCCUGCUCCUCCUGCGGGGUCCAGGGGGGUGCCCGGCUCCUGCCAGCCCCCUCUCCCUCCCGCAGGGAGCCGUAGCCCUCGCUCAUCUCCCGGGCGGCCGCUGGGCUCUUCCAGAAGAGCAGCUCCACAAACGCCUUCUUGUUGGUGGCCGCCAGCGCAAAGAACUUGCCCAGGAUGAACUUGGCCAACGCCACCAGCUCCUGUGGGCGAGAACGGGGCUGGGGGACACGGACCCUUUCCCGGGAAGAGGGGAUGGAACCGGGACCCGUCUGACCUGGUGCGCGCCGGCGGCGGGGUCGUGAAGCAGCCGGUUGAAGAGGGCGAAGAGGGAGAGCUGGAAGAGCAGCGGCUCCAUGUGCAGGUCGCGGGCCAGGCGGUGCAGCAGGCGGGCGGCGCAGUGGUUGGUGCGGGGGGUGUUGCGGGGGUACCCCCGCAGCAGCAGCACCAGCGCCCGCACCACAGGGGCACAGGCAAACCUGCCCCGGUAGCUCCGGUGAGUGGGGAUCCCCCCAAACCCCUCCAGACCCACCCCUGGAUCCCCCUCUCACCGUUUCAGGUAGUCAAGGAAGUUGAACUCCUUCUCCGACACCUGCACGGUCUCUUCCUCCUCUUCCUCCUCCUCCUCCUCAUCUUCCUCCGGCUCCUCAGCCUCGGGGGGUGCAUGCUCUGCAAUGGGACAGCACUGAGGGUCUGGAGCACCCCCAAACCACAGCCCCCCACUCCCGGUGCCACCGGCCAUGGACUCACGUGGCAGCGGAGCGAAGAGGAUGUCCCGCAGCAGCCGGGUCUCCUCGGGCGGCCCCGCAUCGGCGGAUCCGAACACGUCCCCUUCGGGCCACACAUCCCUGGGGAGAGACAGGGACAGGCUGUCACCGUGCCCGUGCACCGGGUGCGGGACGGGGAGCGCGGUGCCGGUACCGGGCAGAGCGGAGCAGCCGCAGGGCCUGGGGGACCCGAGCAUCCCGCAGGCAGCCCUGGAUGCGCAGCAGAGCCUCGGCGCGUUGCUCCUCCACCGGCGUCUCCGAGGCGGCGUCGAAGGGCACCACGUCCUCGGGGAGGGACACCUCGCCCUGUGUGGGACACCGUCACCUUGUGCCCCACACCGGGACACCCCGGGGUCCCCGCUAUGGGGCUGGAGCCGUCCUCUACCUGCAGGCAAGCCUGGAGCUGUGGGGCCAGCCCUUCCCAUAGCUCCUGCAGCUCCUCGGUGCUGGGCGGCUGCGGGGCCGUGGCUGCAGGCGCACGGGGCUGCUUCUUCCUCCGCACACGCUUGCU
Molecule: long non-coding RNA, 2968 nt
Filed under: Strigops habroptila (Kakapo)
Lineage: Eukaryota; Metazoa; Chordata; Aves; Psittaciformes; Psittacidae
Description: lncRNA (ENSSHBG00005015874.1)
Source: RNAcentral